UACGGGGGGGGGCACGCGUUGUUCGGACUUACUGGGCGUAAAGCGCACGUAGGCGGCUUUGUAAGUUAGAGGUGAAAGCCCGGAGCUCAACUCCGGAAUUGCCUUUAAGACUGCAUCGCUUGAAUCCAGGAGAGGUGAGUGGAAUUCCGAGUGUAGAGGUGAAAUUCGUAGAUAUUCGGAAGAACACCAGUGGCGAAGGCGGCUCACUGGACUGGUAUUGACGCUGAGGUGCGAAAGCGUGGGGAGCAAACAGG
This 254-nucleotide ribosomal RNA is filed under the name uncultured bacterium. RNAcentral describes it as "partial 16S ribosomal RNA". It matches the Rfam family "Bacterial small subunit ribosomal RNA", at positions 524 to 776 of the family's 1533-position model. The record is from RNAcentral.